This is a ribosomal RNA of 347 nucleotides. The stretch from base 1 to 105 matches the Rfam family "5.8S ribosomal RNA", at positions 50 to 154 of the family's 154-position model.
GAAAUGCGAUAAGUAAUGUGAAUUGCAGAAUUCAGUGAAUCAUCGAAUCUUUGAACGCACCUUGCGCCCUUUGGUAUUCCGAAGGGCACACCUGUUUGAGUGUCGUGAAAUUCUCAACCCUCUUCACUUUUUGGUGAUUAGGGAUUGGACUUGGAGGCCUUGCCGGACUUUUUGUUCGGCUCCUCUCAAAUGCAUUAGCGCGUCUUGUUGCGACGUGCGCCUCGGUGUGAUAAUUAUCUACGCUGUGGUGUGCUUGCUUCUGUGGAGAUGUGCUUUCAAACCGUCCGAAAGGACAGCUUUCAUCGAACUUUGACCUCAAAUCAGGUGGGACUACCCGCUGAACUUAA